UGGGGAAUCUUGGACAAUGGGCGCAAGCCUGAUCCAGCCAUGCCGCGUGGAUGAUGAAGGCCUUAGGGUUGUAAAAUCCUUUCGUUGGGGACGAUAAUGACGGUACCCAAAGAAGAAGCUCCGGCUAACUUCGUGCCAGCAGCCGCGGUAAUACGAAGGAGGCUAGCGUUGUUCGGAUUUACUGGGCGUAAAGCGCGUGUAGGCGGACUUGUAAGUUGGGGGUGAAAUCCCGAGGCUCAACCUCGGAACUGCCUCCAAAACUACAAGUCUGGACCUAAGUAGAGGCAAGUGGAAUUGCGAGUGUAGAGGUGAAAUUCGUAGAUAUUCGCAGGAACACCAGUGGCGAAGGCGACUUGCUGGACUUAUGGUGACGCUGAGACGCGAAAGCGUGGGGAGCAAACAGGAUUAGAUACCCCCGUAGUCCCUGAGCGGGCUGGCAAGGCGCAU
This 447-nucleotide ribosomal RNA is filed under the name uncultured bacterium. Its description in RNAcentral is "bacterial SSU rRNA". It matches the Rfam family "Bacterial small subunit ribosomal RNA", at positions 355 to 825 of the family's 1533-position model. The record is from RNAcentral.